Molecule: long non-coding RNA, 2113 nt
Filed under: Sarcophilus harrisii (Tasmanian devil)
Lineage: Eukaryota; Metazoa; Chordata; Mammalia; Dasyuromorphia; Dasyuridae
Description: lncRNA (ENSSHAG00000032113.1)
Source: RNAcentral
GAAUAUAAAAAAAUAAGAAAAAGAACAGUAAGAUUGAUAUCCAUAGUGUUCAGGUAUCAUCAAAUGAUCAGAUCAUUUAUCAUCACCCCAAAUCCCCAUCAGUGUGUUUUAAAGGAAAUGUUACAGAAUUUGUAUUAUUUGAUUUGGUAUUUAAUAACAAUUAUAAGUACAAUGGCAGACAUUUAAAAAGAGAGCCCUUGAUAAAGAAAAGACAAUUUUAAAUAAGAAAGUUUUGUUAAAGGUUGUUAUAAGUGCCAUUUUAUCCAUAAGCAUUCCUUUUAAGGCAUUUCCAUUAUUGUCAUACUAUCUAAACAUGUACAGAAAGGUUUACAUUUGAUAAUGGGCUCCUUUUUUGAACCUGCAUUAUUAUUAGUUCCAAACAAAGAUUAAAGAAAUAAAAAUACAAUUUGGGAUUAAAUGUAGCCAGAAAAGAAGCAUCUUUUCAUAAGAAGCAAUGUAAAAAACCUUUAAAUCAUUACACAUGCUCCCCUAAUGUACUUCCAGUUUGUUUUGUUGUCUGUUUUUUUUGGCAACACAUUUUUCACUCCUAACAAAGUAUUAGUUAACAAAGAAUGGGAUAUGAGAAGUGGCUGCAAUUCAAUAAUGAGCAUAGUAAAUUUUAAAGAGGGUUCUUUUACCAUGUCCUGGCAUGAAAGGUGCUACAUACAAACUUGUUUCAUUUAACUCUUUGGUAAUUACCAACCUAAAACCUUUAACCAAAAACUUCUCCAUAUGCCUCAAAGUGAAGCACUAUGCAGCAGAAUCUUCUGUGGUUACCAGAAAUGAUACUAUUUUCAUACACAUUGAAUUGUUUUUCUAAGGACUGAGCUAUUGAUUCAAGUGAGACCAGAAAUAAAAGAAUGAGCAGUCUAUAGAGAAAAAAAAUAAAAUUUUCAGAUUCCAGUAGAGUAGAUUUGCAACUUGAAAGAACAAGACUGCACAUGACAAAAAAAGUAUUGUUACCUAAUAAGCUCUCUUGAAACCAUUUUAAGGAAAAAAGGGAAAUCUUUGUGGCUAUUAUUUCCAAUGAGUUUUACCUCUCCUUUUCUAAAGAGGGAACAAAGAAGGCAUGAAGUACAGUUAAAACUAUUUAGUGACCAUCUUGAUUACUUCUUGGUUGCUUCUUCCUAGGCUACUUUAUUAGGUGGUUAAAUUUCCAGCCUACAUAGAAUGGCUAAUAGGACUGCCCUUAAAUUCUUUCCACUUCUAAAGCUGCACUAAGCUCCUUAAACAAUUCAGAAGAAUCCCUCUUUAAGAGUAUUAAUGUUUCAGGAAGAUGAACCUAUGAUUAUAUUGGACCCCUUUGUCAGACCACCUCCAAUUUAUCACAUGGCAAAUUUCAAUGAUGGCCUGUGAACAUGUGCUAUUUGCAAGUAUCCACUACUGAAUAGAAAUCUAAGUCUCUUAAUUGAAUUUAUUUAACUAAAACAUAAUUUUUACUUUUAUUUUCAGAUUUAUUGUAAAUGAAGUUUAUAUAUUUUUUACAUGUUAAGUUUUUUGUGAUUGGGGUGCUAUCCACUGCUCAUUUAAUCUUUUAGUUUAAGAAGCCAUUAAGUAUUUUAGUCACCUAAUAAUAUUAAAAACAAUAUUUUGAAGUCUAUAGAAUAGGCUUGAAACAUGUAUUCUGUGCAGUUUCAUGUUUUAGAACAAUUCUUUUAUGUUUACAUAGCACCUUUCAUCCAAAGGCAUCAGAGUUACUUUAAUUUUAAAAUGCCAUAUGGCAGCAAAUAAGAUUUGUUUUAGGAAUAGCAAAAUCAAAACCAAGUAAAAUUGGCAUUAAGGAUAGACCCAAGUUACCCUAUCUUUUUGAUUAAAAUAUCAUGCUGUCUCUAUUUUGGAGUUUGGAUUUCUCUGAGAGUAAACAGUAUGUAAGUACAAUAUCAUUAGUGGCAAUGACACAACAAAAAGAGACUCUUUGUAUGACUUCUACAUUAGUGAUGAACAAAUGGUUCAUAAACUACAUAGAGAAAUACAUCAAAUAUGGAAAUAUCUCAAAAGCAUUUUUGUAAGCUGGUACUGAGAGCCUAAGAAGUAAACUGCUAAUAUUAAAAAAAAAAAAACAAAAAAACUUUUUUUACCAUUUCAAACUUGUAUGAAUAUUAAGAAACUCUAU